This 71-nucleotide transfer RNA is filed under the name Thermotomaculum hydrothermale. Its description in RNAcentral is "tRNA-Cys". The stretch from base 9 to 67 matches the Rfam family "tRNA", at positions 8 to 63 of the family's 71-position model. From Rfam's summary of the family: Transfer RNA (tRNA) molecules are approximately 80 nucleotides in length. Their secondary structure includes four short double-helical elements and three loops (D, anti-codon, and T loops). Lineage: Bacteria; Pseudomonadati; Acidobacteriota; Holophagae; Thermotomaculales; Thermotomaculaceae. The record is from RNAcentral.
UGUGCCCAUAGCUCAACUGGAUAGAGCACCCCGAUACAAUCGGGGAGGUUGGGGGUUCAAGUCCCUUACAA